This is an RNA transcript of Hevea brasiliensis (rubber tree), 1301 nucleotides long. RefSeq lists it as uncharacterized. NCBI's taxonomy places the organism in Eukaryota, Viridiplantae, Streptophyta, Magnoliopsida, Malpighiales, Euphorbiaceae. The record is from RefSeq and is a predicted model, not a curated record. The transcript has 5 exons.
GUACCCGACCCUAAUAAAAGUCAGGUUGAUUCGAGCUAGCUAUCUUACCAGCACCAGAGUGUAUCAAUUCAACCGAAUCAAGCUGGACACCAAGUUUGACAAGUCGGCUCUACCAAACAGUACUGGUGAACUUGGGAAAGAGAAAGGUCUCCAAUCAUGCUGGGCAGGAGGUUCAUUUCUUUCUUCAGGAGUUCUUCAGCGUCACAGCUUUCCAGUACCGCCAAGCCUGUGGAUGAAGAAAAGAGCAGGUCUUUUGGUCGUAAGGCUGUUUCUUUUUUGUUGAUUACCGUCACAGGCGGUGUUGCUUUGAGCGCUCUUGAUGACCUUGCCAUAUAUCAAGGCUGCAGCAGCAAGGCCAUGGAGAAAGCCAGUAAAAAUCAGGCAAUCAAAGAUGCUAUUGGGGAACCAAUUGCUAAAGGUCCAUGGUACAAUGCAUCUCUUGCAGUGGCUCACAAAAGGCAUUCUGUAUCUUGCACAUUUCCUGUGUCUGGACCACGUGGCAAUGGUGUGUUCCAAUUGAAGGCAGUUCGUAAUGGAGAGGACAAUUGGUUUUCGUUUUUCCUUCCUCGUGAUUGGGAAAUCCUAAUAAUGGAAGCUCUCCUUCAUGUUCCUGGUAAUGAGGAAAAGCAGCAAACAAUGCGGAUUAGUCUUUCUGAAAACUACCCAUCUCCAGAUUGCAAGGCAUGCACUUCAUGCCCACAGGGAUCUCAAAAGCCAGAGAACAAAUGAAAAGCUGCACACCAUCAAGUAUGUGGGAACAUUUUUUCAUUUUUCGGCUCUGUGUUUCACACCAGUUCCUGUUCUUCCAGCAUUAGGAUUAACACAAGUUUAGAUCUGAUGUGCUCAUAAAUAUAGUUAAAACUGCUCACCUGGUACAAUUUGGCCUCUUUUCCAAAUCCAGGAUGGAUUUGGUACUUUCAUUCUAGCAGAUAUUGAAGAGCAACUAACAGUCUAAGAAUCGAGAUAGCCGUAAAUUGUACUUCGAAUUCUGGCCAUUUUCAUUGGGAUUGGAGAGGUGAGUGUCAACAUCAUCUGUUAGAAGAAAAGAAAGCAGAAGCAGCAUUAAGUGCUUGGCAAGCUUGAUUUUGAGCAGAAACAGAAAGGAGAAAUAAAUAGCAUUGAUGAUUUGUGUGCCAUUUUGGCUACAUACUGAUUCAUGGUGAAAUGACUGUUAACCAAUCUGGUUCACAUUACUCCCACUCCUUCAGUUUUGGGUACUAUGGCUUCACACUCCAGAUUUGACCAUUAAAUUUAGUACUUUAUUAAAUUUUAUAAAUGGAAAACUCAAAAUUCAAAGUUUA